UUAAAACUUGCAAUGUGGGUUUAAAACUCAAGAAAGAUGGAGGAGAUCUAGUGAAAGAACACAAGAUUUGAGGAGAGGGAGAUCGGAAGCUUGUUGUGGCCGAAAAUGGGAGAAAACCUCGCCCAUUUCGGCUAAGGGUCCCUUUUAUAGUGGCUGGCCAGGCCACGUUCGGGGGCCGAAGGUGCCUCCGCAUGCAUGCAAGGUUCGGCGGCCGAACAUGAGGUUCGGCGGCCGAAC
Molecule: long non-coding RNA, 237 nt
Filed under: Manihot esculenta (cassava)
Lineage: Eukaryota; Viridiplantae; Streptophyta; Magnoliopsida; Malpighiales; Euphorbiaceae
Description: long non-coding RNA (MESC_LNC011384)
Source: RNAcentral